Long non-coding RNA from Prinia subflava (tawny-flanked prinia), 2859 nucleotides. RefSeq lists it as uncharacterized. Lineage: Eukaryota; Metazoa; Chordata; Aves; Passeriformes; Cisticolidae. The record is from RefSeq and is a predicted model, not a curated record. The transcript has 3 exons.
CCCCUCUUGACCUUUCCUCCUCUUAACUGUUUGUCCACUUUGGCAGCAAUGCUCCAUGGUCUUGGAAAGAUGUACUUGGGAUGCUCCAAAGCAGCUGGAGAUUGCUGAGGCUGCAGGGCCGUAGUCAGGCCAAGGCAGCGAGUGUGGCAUGGCUCAAAUCCCUGGCCAUGCCCGGCAGCCUUUCACAGCGGAACCCUCUGUGUGGCAGUGCAUGUUUUUUGAGUUUACUGUUUUAUGUAAGAUUUAGUUGUAAAGGUUCAGUUCUAUGUAUCCCUACCUUCCCCCCCUAAUUAAUAUUCCUUUGUCCCUCUCCUCCAUCACGAGGUGUCUGCACCUGUUCCCUUCGGUUAAUUGUCAGUUAUCUUUCCCGCCUUGAGUUUUCCCCUCCCAGUUAUCUUUAAUUGGUACGAAGCACCCUUUUCCCCCUCUGUUCUCCCUAGAGAUUGUACACCAUUGGCUGGAGGCGGCCAACCCCACCCCCUUUUUCCCGCUUUCUCUGCUCCCCUUAAAACCCUGUGUUGAUUCAAAGUCUGGGUCCAGAAAACGGCUCAGAGUUGAGUUAAUAAACUCUCUGCUGCUCUAUUCGCUGGAUCCUCCUUUCCUUCCUCUGCCUCGCCACUUUUCCACCCCCUCUCAAGCUCCUACGGGGUGUAGCACCUGCCGGAGCUGACUGUCCCACGCGGCGUGCGGCUGGCUUCAGAGUGCGCCUUGUCCCGGUGCUUGGGCUGGCUCGGGGUGACCCCCAGUGGUUCUUUAGAGGCACCGCGGCAAAGCGUCUGGCGCCCACCGUGCGGGGCGACGGACGGACCCCCCCCACGGACGGAGUUACCGGGGCUCGGACUAGGAGCCGACCCCUCGAAAAGAACUCCUGGCCGUCACGCAGCCUCGGCGUGAGCUGCCUCUUCAGAGGACGUGCUCCCCGAGGACGGGAAGGCAGCACCCUGUAUUGCACUCAUACACGGUGUCUUCCCACCGCAGAGGAACCCCCGAAGACCGGCUUUUCGCACCCGCGCCGGGUUUGGUUACACCUCACGAGGAGCCUCCACCUACGGGACAGGGAUUGGCAUCAGGUCACCUUAAAUCCAAAGGAGCUGAAAGACUGGCCACUGGCGAAGGAAGUUUGUUUUGUAGGUCCUACCCAUCCCAAGCCAACAUGCAGACCAUCCACCUCAUCAUCGUGAUCACUAGCCUCCUGACAACCAGUCAAGCCUGGCUUGUGCCACAGCCCGAUGCGAAUGUGUGGACCACGCUGGCGCGGUCCUUAGACCAGGAUCACAUCUGCCUCAACCAGGCCAGUGCCUCGGACCCGAUCUCCUCCUGCCUCGUGGGGAUCCCUUUUCAAAAACAUGAAUUGCCCGAGAAGCUGCUUUAUUAUGCCCGCCGUUUAGAUAAUAUCAAGCCCCGUGUGAGUCCUUUUAUUAGUUGGAGGAAAUUCUUUUUUCCGUUUAGAAAAUUCAAAAGAUGAACCCCAGGAGCUGGAACUCCUUGGUUCAGCCAAAGCCCGGUUUUGCAUCCACUUCACCAAUGAGGCAAAUGCCCUUAACCCCAAGACAAAAAAUGUAGUUCAGUCAAAUUCCCUAUAUCACGCCAGAUCGUGGUGUCAGGGAAUGGAGCACUCCCCCCUCAAGUUUACAAUAACCCCCAAAAAUUGCCAAAAGGUGUUUUUUUGAUUUGCGGGACCCAUGCUUGGGCAGGCAUCCCCUCUCACCUUUCAGGAGGUCCGUGCACCUUAGGGAAAUUGGGACUGUUUUCACCUAACAAAACCCAAAUUAUGGAUUGGAAGCAAAAGAAAAACGGUGCACAUAAAUCGGCUAUUUCUAAAAGAGAUUUGAAGAAUUUGGACCCAAACUGCGAUUCGGAAAUUGUACAUUGGAGUAAGUCUAAAGGAGUCGCAGUUACUAUAUUUGCCCCCUGGGUUUCAAUUGCCAAGAAUAUGGGGGAAUUGGCACCCUUAGGGCAAACAGUCAAAGUUGACUUCCAAGGCCCUAUAUAACCUCCUGCAAGAUGAGGAUUUAACGAGGCAGGCCACCCUCCAAAAUCGGGCGGCCAUAGAUUACCUCUUGCUCCUCCACGGGCAUACCUGUGAGGAGUUCGAGGGUCUAUGUUGUUUUAACUUGUCGAGCCGGGCUGAGGACACUAAGCAGAUCUUGCGACAGAUGCAAGAUACGGUCGGGCAGAUAAAAAAAGAAACAUCAGACUGAUUAACUAACAUCUUCAGUGGCUGGGGGCUCUCUGGGUGGUUAGGAUCCAUCUUAAGGACCAUUUUGUUAUUUAUGUUCAUCAUUUUAUUAAUCCUGGUGGCCUUCAGACUAAUUAGAAAGAUGAUGUUUAAAUUGAUUUCCAGUGCCACUUCUUCCCCCUCUCCAGAAGUUAAUUUCACAGCGGUGUCAGAUGACCCUGAAGAAAUGGACUUAGAAGGCUCCGAAGGCUAUCCGGAGUCCGAAUACCUUCCUGACCCACCGCAGCCUUUUUCAUCUUAAUUAAAAGGGGGAGAUGUGGCAGUGCAUGUUUUUUGAGUUUACUGUUUUAUGUAAGAUUUAGUUGUAAAGGUUCAGUUCUAUGUAUCCCUACCUUCCCCCCCUAAUUAAUAUUCCUUUGUCCCUCUCCUCCAUCAUGAGGUGUCUGCACCUGUUCCCUUCGGUUAAUUGUCAGUUAUCUUUCCCACCUUGAGUUUUCCCCUCCCAGUUAUCUUUAAUUGGUACGAAGCACCCUUUUCCCCCUCUGUUCUCCCUAGAGAUUGUACACCAUUGGCUGGAGGCGGCCAACCCCACCCCCUUUUUCCCGCUUUCUCUGCUCCCCUUAAAACCCUGUGUUGAUUCAAAGUCUGGGUCCAGAAAACGGCUCAGAGUUGCGUUAAUA